UGGGGAAUCAUGGUCAAUGGGCGAAAGCCUGAACCUGCGACGCCGCGUGGAUGAAGAAGGCCGAAAGGUUGUAAAGUUCAGUAAGCAGGGAAGAAUAAGCAACGGGUAAUAUUCGUUGUGAUGACGGUACCUGCCUAAAGCCCCGGCUAACUACGUGCCAGCAGCCGCGGUAAUACGUAUGGGGCAAGCGUUGUUCGGAAUUAUUGGGCGUAAAGGGCGUCUAGGCGGGGGAUUAAGUUAGAUGUGAAAGCUAUGGGCUCAACCCAUAAACUGCAUCUAAGACUGGUUCUCUUGAGUCCGGGAGAGGAGAGCGGAAUUCCAGGUGUAGCGGUGAAAUGCGUAGAUAUCUGGAAGAACACCAGUGGCGAAGGCGGCUCUCUGGCCUAGGACUGACGCUGAAGCGCGAAAGCGUGGGGAGCGAACA
RNAcentral lists this ribosomal RNA (424 nucleotides) under uncultured prokaryote. Its description in RNAcentral is "bacterial SSU rRNA". It matches the Rfam family "Bacterial small subunit ribosomal RNA", at positions 355 to 774 of the family's 1533-position model. The record is from RNAcentral.